RNAcentral lists this ribosomal RNA (769 nucleotides) under uncultured bacterium. RNAcentral describes it as "bacterial SSU rRNA". It matches the Rfam family "Bacterial small subunit ribosomal RNA", at positions 8 to 796 of the family's 1533-position model. The record is from RNAcentral.
AGAGUUUGAUCCUGGCUCAGAACGAACGCUGGCGGCGUGCUUAACACAUGCAAGUCGAGUGCGCGGUUGUAGCAAUACAACUGGCGCACGGCGCACGGGUGCGUAACACGUGGGUAACCUGCCCUUUGGUGGGGAAUAACUCCGCGAAAGCGGAGCUAAUUCCGCAUAAGAUCCGCAAGGAUGAAAGCCGCAAGGCGCCGAAGGAGGGGCCCGCGCCCGAUUAGCUAGUUGGUAGGGUAACGGCCUACCAAGGCUUUGAUCGGUAGCUGGUCUGAGGGAUGAUCAGCCACACUGGAACUGAGACACGGUCCNNNCUNNNACGGGAGGCAGCAGUGGGGAAUCUUGCACAAUGGGCGAAAGCCUGAUGCAGCGACGCCGCGUGGGGGAUGAAGCAUUUCGGUGUGUAAACCCCUUUCGAUCCGGACGAAACCCCGCAAGGGAUUGACGGUACGGAUAUAAGAAGCCCCGGCUAACUACGUGCCAGCAGCCGCGGUAAGACGUAGGGGGCCAGCGUUGUUCGGAAUUACUGGGUGUAAAGGGUUCGUAGGCGGUGCGGCAAGUUGGGAGUGAAAUCUCUGGGCUUAACCCAGAGGCUGCUUCCAAAACUGCUGUGCUUGAGUGUGGGAGAGGCGCGUGGAAUUGCAGGUGUAGCGGUGAAAUGCGUAGAUAUCUGCAGGAACACCCGUGGCGAAAGCGGCGCGCUGGACCACUACUGACGCUGAGGAACGAAAGCUAGGGGAGCAAACAGGAUUAGAUACCCUAGUAGUCC